This 916-nucleotide ribosomal RNA is filed under the name Venturia polygoni-vivipari. RNAcentral's name for it is "eukaryotic LSU rRNA". It matches the Rfam family "Eukaryotic large subunit ribosomal RNA", at positions 1 to 938 of the family's 3401-position model. The record is from RNAcentral. Lineage: Eukaryota; Fungi; Ascomycota; Dothideomycetes; Venturiales; Venturiaceae.
GUUGGCCUCGGAUCAGGUGGGGAUACCCGCUGAACUUAAGCAUAUCAAUAAGCGGAGGAAAAGAAACCAACAGGGAUUGCCUCAGUAACGGCGAGUGAAGCGGCAACAGCUCAAAUUUGAAAUCUGGCGCAAGCCCGAGUUGUAAUUUGUAGAGGAUGUUUCGGGUGAAGCCACGGUCCAAGUCCCUUGGAACAGGACGUCAUAGAGGGUGAGAACCCCGUACCUGGCCGUCGGUGCCCCCCGCUGUGAAACUCCUUCGACGAGUCGAGUUGUUUGGGAAUGCAGCUCUAAAUUGGUGGUAAAUUCCAUCUAAAGCUAAAUACCGGCCAGAGACCGAUAGCGCACAAGUAGAGUGAUCGAAAGAUGAAAAGCACUUUGAAAAGAGAGUUAAAAAGUACGUGAAAUUGUUGAAAGGGAAGCGCUUGCGGCCAGACUUGCCCGCGGUUGCUCAGCCCGCCUUUUGGCGGGUGCACUCUUCCGCGGUCAGGCCAGCAUCGGUUUGGGCGGUCGGAUAAAGGCGUUGGGAACGUGGCCUCCCCUCGGGGAGGUGUUAUAGCCCGGCGCGCAAUGCGACCAGCCCGGACCGAGGUUCGCGCUUUGCUAGGAUGCUGGCGUAAUGGCCGUAAGCGGCCCGUCUUGAAACACGGACCAAGGAGUCUAACAUCUAUGCGAGUGUUUGGGUGUCAAACCCGUGCGCGUAAUGAAAGUGAACGGAGGUGGGAACCGCAAGGUGCACCAUCGACCGAUCCUGAUGUCUUCGGAAGGAUUUGAGUAAGAGCAUAGCUGUUGGGACCCGAAAGAUGGUGAACUAUGCGUGAAUAGGGUGAAGCCAGAGGAAACUCUGGUGGAGGCUCGCAGCGGUUCUGACGUGCAAAUCGAUCGUCAAAUUUGCGUAUAGGGGCGAAAGACUAAUCGA